UAGGGAAUCUUCCGCAAUGGGCGAAAGCCUGACGGAGCAACGCCGCGUGAGUGAUGAAGGUCUUCGGAUCGUAAAACUCUGUUAUUAGGGAAGAACAAAUGUGUAAGUAACUAUGCACGUCUUGACGGUACCUAAUCAGAAAGCCACGGCUAACUACGUGCCAGCAGCCGCGGUAAUACGUAGGUGGCAAGCGUUAUCCGGAAUUAUUGGGCGUAAAGCGCGCGUAGGCGGUUUUUUAAGUCUGAUGUGAAAGCCCACGGCUCAACCGUGGAGGGUCAUUGGAAACUGGGAAACUUGAGUGCAGAAGAGGAAAGUGGAAUUCCAGGUGUAGCGGUGAAAUGCGCAGAGAUAUGGAGGAACACCAGUGGCGAAGGCGACUUUCUGGUCUGUAACUGACGCUGAUGUGCGAAAGCGUGGGGAUCAAACAGG
This 429-nucleotide ribosomal RNA is filed under the name Actinomycetes bacterium. RNAcentral describes it as "Actinobacteria bacterium partial 16S ribosomal RNA". It matches the Rfam family "Bacterial small subunit ribosomal RNA", at positions 355 to 776 of the family's 1533-position model. The record is from RNAcentral. Lineage: Bacteria; Bacillati; Actinomycetota; Actinomycetes.